UGGUUCUGGCAUNGAUGAAGAACGCAGCGAAAUGCGAUACGUAAUGUGAAUUGCAGAAUUUAGUGAAUCAUCGAAUCUUUGAACGCACAUUGCGCUCCCCAGCAUUCUGGGGAGCAUGCCUGUUCGAGCGUCAUUUCAACCCCCAAGCACCAGCUGCUUGCUGAUGGGGCCCGUCACCGCGGGCCCCCAAAUGCUUUGGCAGAGCCGGUUGGCACUCUGAGCGUAGUAACUAACCUCGCUUUUGAAGGUCCCCGGCCCCUAGCCGUUAAACACCAACUUACAAAGUUUGACCUCGGAUCAGGUAGGAAUACCCGCUGA
RNAcentral lists this unclassified non-coding RNA (318 nucleotides) under uncultured fungus. RNAcentral describes it as "partial contains 5.8S ribosomal RNA and internal transcribed spacer 2". The stretch from base 1 to 133 matches the Rfam family "5.8S ribosomal RNA", at positions 22 to 154 of the family's 154-position model. Lineage: Eukaryota; Fungi. The record is from RNAcentral.